AGGUUGAAAAGUUUGAUUUUUGUUUAAAAAAUUAGGUGUAAUUUUUAAUUUACAUGUAAAUUUUUAUUUAAUUAAAAUUUAUUUUUAUAAUAAAUAAAAUAGUGAUCGCAGUCAAUAAUUUUAAAUAUAAAUUAAUGUUUGAUUUAGUAAAAAUUUUUAUAACUAACAAAAUUUGUGCCAGCAGUUGCGGUUAUUCAAAUAGUUGAACUUAAUUUUUUUUAGAAUCAAUUUAUAGUAAAUAAAAUUUUAUAUAAAAAUUAUUAGGUGAAAUUAUUAAUUUUUAGAAAAAUUUAAAUUAAUGAAGUUGAGAAAUUUUGUGUAUUAGACUAGGAUUAGAUACCCUAUUAUUAAAAAUGUUAAUUAAAUUUCUAGAUUAGUAACAGUUAUGUUCUUGAAAAUUAAAAAAUUUGGCGGUAUUUUAGACUAGUCAGAGGAACCUGUUCUGUAAUUGAUAGUCCACGAGAUAAUAUACUUUUUUUAGAAGUUUGUAUAUCGUCGUAGUUUGGAAUAUUUUCUGAGGAUUUAAAUAUUCUUAAUUUAUUUUUUAAAGUAAAUCAGAUCAAGGUAUAGCUUAUAAAAGAGAAGUAAUGGGUUACAUUAGUUAAAUUUAAAGAUUUUAAAUGGAAUUAUUUAAAUGAAUUUGGAUUUGAUAGUAAUUAUAUUUAAUUUAAUAUAAUGAUAGAAGCUCUAAAAUAUGCACAUAUCGCCCGUCGCUUUCACUUUAAGGUGAAAUAAGUCGUAACAAAGUAGAUUUACUGGAAAGUGAGUCUAGAAAGAUA
Molecule: non-coding RNA, 779 nt
Filed under: Sthenias yunnanus
Lineage: Eukaryota; Metazoa; Arthropoda; Insecta; Coleoptera; Cerambycidae
Source: RNAcentral